UAAAGACCGGCCUGUGUCUGAACAGCACCGGGACGUGUGAGAUUCACGCCUGGUGUCCCAUCGAACACAGCACACGACCCACAGAGCCCCUCCUGAGCCAGGCCGAAAACUUCACCGUCUACAUCAAGAACUUCAUCAGGUUCCCAAAGUUUGAAUUCUCAAAAUCCAACGUCCUUGAAACGUCUGACGAUGGCUACCUGAAAAGAUGCAGCUACGACAGAGAGGAGCACCUGUACUGCCC
Plectropomus leopardus (leopard coralgrouper) is the source of this 241-nucleotide non-coding RNA. NCBI's taxonomy places the organism in Eukaryota, Metazoa, Chordata, Actinopteri, Perciformes, Serranidae. The record is from RefSeq and is a predicted model, not a curated record.